This 549-nucleotide ribosomal RNA is filed under the name uncultured bacterium. RNAcentral's name for it is "bacterial SSU rRNA". It matches the Rfam family "Bacterial small subunit ribosomal RNA", at positions 355 to 896 of the family's 1533-position model. The record is from RNAcentral.
UAGGGAAUCUUCGGCAAUGGGGGCAACCCUGACCGAGCAACGCCGCGUGAGUGAAGAAGGUUUUCGGAUCGUAAAGCUCUGUUGUAAGUCAAGAACGAGUGUGAGAGUGGAAAGUUCACACUGUGACGGUAGCUUACCAGAAAGGGACGGCUAACUACGUGCCAGCAGCCGCGGUAAUACGUAGGUCCCGAGCGUUGUCCGGAUUUAUUGGGCGUAAAGCGAGCGCAGGCGGUUUGAUAAGUCUGAAGUUAAAGGCUGUGGCUCAACCACAGUUCGCUUUGGAAACUGUCAAACUUGAGUGCAGAAGGGGAGAGUGGAAUUCCAUGUGUAGCGGUGAAAUGCGUAGAUAUAUGGAGGAACACCGGUGGCGGAAGCGGCUCUCUGGUCUGUAACUGACGCUGAGGCUCGAAAGCGUGGGGAGCGAACAGGAUUAGAUACCCUGGUAGUCCACGCCGUAACGAUGAGUGCUAGGUGUUGGGUCCUUUCCGGGAUUCAGUGCCGCAGCUAACGCAUUAAGCACUCCGCCUGGGGAGUACGACCGCAAGGUUG